RNAcentral lists this transfer RNA (63 nucleotides) under Pseudotibiozus cerasopus. RNAcentral's name for it is "tRNA-Phe". The record is from RNAcentral. Lineage: Eukaryota; Metazoa; Arthropoda; Diplopoda; Spirostreptida; Spirostreptidae.
AUUUAAAUAGCUUAAGAAAAGCAAAGUUUUGAAGCAACUUAGAUGAUUUUAUAUCUUUAAAUA